Molecule: ribosomal RNA, 552 nt
Filed under: Mychodeophyllum papillitectum
Lineage: Eukaryota; Rhodophyta; Florideophyceae; Gigartinales; Mychodeophyllaceae
Description: eukaryotic LSU rRNA
Rfam family: Eukaryotic large subunit ribosomal RNA
Source: RNAcentral
AUGAAAAGCACUUUGAAAAGAGGGUGAAAAGAACCUGAAACCGUCACGGGGGAAGCGGAUUGCGUUGGCCUGGUGGGCGCCUGUGUGUUCAGCCUUUGGGUGCAUUGGCAUAGGUGCUUAUCCGUCGUGAGUUUUUGGGGAUCGAAUUUGGAUCCCUGGGGGCUGAGGGCUCCCUUCGGGUGAGGACGGCGGAGCGACGACGCGAUACGACCCGUCUUGAAACACGGACCAAGGAGUCUAGCGCGGGUGCGAGUCAGAGGGUGCAAGCCCGUGGGCGAAGUGAAAGCGAGUUUGAAAACGAGCAGUUUGGGGCGGCAUAAGAUCGUUGAUUUUAAGACCGACCCGGAGCAGUUGCGCUGGGACCCGAAAGAUGGUGAACUAUGCCGGAGUAGGGCAAAGCCAGAGGAAACUCUGGUGGAGGCUCGUAGCGGUGCUGACGUGCAAAUCGCUCGUCCAACUUGGGUAUAGGGGCGAAAGACUAAUCGAACCAUCUAGUAGCUGGUUCCCUCCGAAGUUUCUCUCAGGAUAGCGGGCCGACAAGUUGUUUUGUGC